Plasmodium vivax (malaria parasite P. vivax) is the source of this 66-nucleotide ribosomal RNA. RefSeq annotates it as 5.8S ribosomal RNA. The annotation marks the transcript as partial. Lineage: Eukaryota; Apicomplexa; Aconoidasida; Haemosporida; Plasmodiidae. The transcript has a single exon. The record is from RefSeq and is a predicted model, not a curated record.
UUGAACAACCUUAGCGAUGGAUGUCUUGGUUCCUACGGCGAAGAAGGCCGCAAUCAAACGCGAUAC